UCAACAUUACAUACUUGCUCUAUCUAGGCGUUUUGUUUGACAAAGAAAAAUGUCUACCCGAAAGCUUGCUUGCACUUACGCUCCUAGUGGUGGUGGUGGCGGCGGCGGCGGCGGCGGUGGGGGUGGGGGCGGCGGCUGCGGAGGCGGUGGAGGCGGCGGAGGCGGACGCUAAAAUUUGAUGUGCAUGCUACCUUUUAAAUUUGUGUUGUUUAGACUUUAUGUGUUGAAGAUUGUGUGUUGUGUUUUAUCGUUUUCUGCUGAACCUUGAGAAACAAUGGGUGCUUGUUUUAUAUGUGAUUGUGAUUGUGUGUUUAGUGCACUAUAAGCUAUAACAUUGUUGUGGUUGUCUUUGUUGAUUGAAAUUUGAUGUACUAG
This 375-nucleotide long non-coding RNA is filed under the name Helianthus annuus (common sunflower). Its description in RNAcentral is "hypothetical non coding rna". The record is from RNAcentral. Lineage: Eukaryota; Viridiplantae; Streptophyta; Magnoliopsida; Asterales; Asteraceae.